Molecule: ribosomal RNA, 1372 nt
Filed under: uncultured bacterium
Lineage: Bacteria
Description: bacterial SSU rRNA
Rfam family: Bacterial small subunit ribosomal RNA
Source: RNAcentral
GAUGAACGCUGGCGGCGUGCCUAAUACAUGCAAGUCGAGCGAACGGACGAGAAGCUUGCUUCUCUGAUGUUAGCGGCGGACGGGUGAGUAACACGUGGAUAACCUACCUAUAAGACUGGGAUAACUUCGGGAAACCGGAGCUAAUACCGGAUAAUAUUUUGAACCGCAUGGUUCAAAAGUGAAAGACGGUCUUGCUGUCACUUAUAGAUGGAUCCGCGCUGCAUUAGCUAGUUGGUAAGGUAACGGCUUACCAAGGCAACGAUGCAUAGCCGACCUGAGAGGGUGAUCGGCCACACUGGAACUGAGACACGGUCCAGACUCCUACGGGAGGCAGCAGUAGGGAAUCUUCCGCAAUGGGCGAAAGCCUGACGGAGCAACGCCGCGUGAGUGAUGAAGGUCUUCGGAUCGUAAAACUCUGUUAUUAGGGAAGAACAUAUGUGUAAGUAACUGUGCACAUCUUGACGGUACCUAAUCAGAAAGCCACGGCUAACUACGUGCCAGCAGCCGCGGUAAUACGUAGGUGGCAAGCGUUAUCCGGAAUUAUUGGGCGUAAAGCGCGCGUAGGCGGUUUUUUAAGUCUGAUGUGAAAGCCCACGGCUCAACCGUGGAGGGUCAUUGGAAACUGGAAAACUUGAGUGCAGAAGAGGAAAGUGGAAUUCCAUGUGUAGCGGUGAAAUGCGCAGAGAUAUGGAGGAACACCAGUGGCGAAGGCGACUUUCUGGUCUGUAACUGACGCUGAUGUGCGAAAGCGUGGGGAUCAAACAGGAUUAGAUACCCUGGUAGUCCACGCCGUAAACGAUGAGUGCUAAGUGUUAGGGGGUUUCCGCCCCUUAGUGCUGCAGCUAACGCAUUAAGCACUCCGCCUGGGGAGUACGACCGCAAGGUCGAAACUCAAAGGAAUUGACGGGGACCCGCACAAGCGGUGGAGCAUGUGGUUUAAUUCGAAGCAACGCGAAGAACCUUACCAAAUCUUGACAUCCUUUGACAACUCUAGAGAUAGAGCCUUCCCCUUCGGGGGACAAAGUGACAGGUGGUGCAUGGUUGUCGUCAGCUCGUGUCGUGAGAUGUUGGGUUAAGUCCCGCAACGAGCGCAACCCUUAAGCUUAGUUGCCAUCAUUAAGUUGGGCACUCUAAGUUGACUGCCGGUGACAAACCGGAGGAAGGUGGGGAUGACGUCAAAUCAUCAUGCCCCUUAUGAUUUGGGCUACACACGUGCUACAAUGGACAAUACAAAGGGCAGCGAAACCGCGAGGUCAAGCAAAUCCCAUAAAGUUGUUCUCAGUUCGGAUUGUAGUCUGCAACUCGACUACAUGAAGCCGGAAUCGCUAGUAAUCGUAGAUCAGCAUGCUACGGUGAAUACGUUCCCGGGUCU